This 293-nucleotide unclassified non-coding RNA is filed under the name uncultured fungus. RNAcentral describes it as "partial contains 5.8S ribosomal RNA, internal transcribed spacer 2, and large subunit ribosomal RNA". Lineage: Eukaryota; Fungi. The record is from RNAcentral.
AACGCACCUUGCGCUCUUUGGUAUUCCGAAGAGCAUGCCUGUUUGAGUAUCAUGAAUCUCUCAAAUCCAAGAAUUUCUUGAAUUUGGACUUGGAAGUUUGUUGGCUUGUCUUUUUUUUUUCAAGUCGACUCUUCUUAAAUAUAUUAGCUGGGGUUUAUAUAGUGGAUCCUUGGUGUGAUAAUUAUCUACGCCUUGAAGUCCCUGUAGACUCUGCUUCAAAUCGUCUCUAACUUUCUUGAGACAAUUUUGAAUCAUUUGAUCUCAAAUCAGGUAGGACUACCCGCUGAACUUAA